RNAcentral lists this ribosomal RNA (245 nucleotides) under uncultured bacterium. Its description in RNAcentral is "partial 16S ribosomal RNA". It matches the Rfam family "Bacterial small subunit ribosomal RNA", at positions 524 to 768 of the family's 1533-position model. The record is from RNAcentral.
GACGAACCGUGCGAACGUUGUUCGGAAUCACUGGGCUUAAAGGGCGCGUAGGCGGCUUCGCAAGUCCGGGGUGAAAGCCCCCAGCUCAACUGGGGAAGUGCCUCGGAUACUGCGGAGCUCGAGGGAGGUAGGGGCGGAUGGAACUUCCGGUGGAGCGGUGAAAUGCGUUGAUAUCGGAAGGAACGCCGGUGGCGAAAGCGAUCCGCUGGCCCUCUACUGACGCUGAGGCGCGAAAGCCAGGGGAG